This 468-nucleotide ribosomal RNA is filed under the name uncultured bacterium. Its description in RNAcentral is "partial 16S ribosomal RNA". It matches the Rfam family "Bacterial small subunit ribosomal RNA", at positions 28 to 507 of the family's 1533-position model. The record is from RNAcentral.
AACGAACGCUGGCGGCGUGCUUAACACAUGCAAGUCGAACGGAAAGUCCCUGCUUUGUUGGGGUGGUCGGGUGGCGAACGGGUAAGUAACACGUGAGUACCCUGCCCUUGACUUUAAGAUAACUUCAUGAAACUGAGGCUAAUCCCGGAUAGGAGCUCCUGCUGCUUGGUGGGGGUUGGAAAGUUUCGGCGGUUGGGGAUGGACUCGCGGCUUAUGAGCUUGAUGCGUGGGUAGUGGCUUACCAAGGCUUUGACACGUGGCCGGGCUGAGCGGGUGACCGGCCACGCUGCGACGGAGAUGAGGCACAGACCCGUAUGCGAGGCAGCAGUGGAGAAUAUUGCACAGUGGGCUGAGGGCUGAUGUAGUAACGCCGCGUGCGGGAUGACGGCCAUCGCUUUGGAUUGCGCAGCCGUCUUACACGAGACGUUAAUGACGGUAAUGGGUAAAGAAGCACCGGCUAACUACGUG